CCUACGGGGUGCAGCAGUGGGGAAUAUUGGACAAUGGGCGAAAGCCUGAUCCAGCCAUGCCGCGUGUGUGAAGAAGGCCUUCGGGUUGUAAAGCACUUUCAGUGGGGAAGAAAGCCUUGGGGCUAAUACCCUCGAGGAAGGACAUCACCCACAGAAGAAGCACCGGCUAACUCCGUGCCAGCAGCCGCGGUAAUACGGAGGGUGCGAGCGUUAAUCGGAAUUACUGGGCGUAAAGCGCGCGUAGGCGGUCUGAUAAGCCGGUUGUGGAAGCCCCGGGCUCAACCUGGGAACGGCAUCCGGAACUGUCAGGCUAGAGUGCAGGAGAGGAAGGUAGAAUUCCCGGUGUAGCGGUGAAAUGCGUAGAGAUCGGGAGGAAUACCAGUGGCGAAGGCGGCCUUCUGGACUGACACUGACGCUGAGGUGCGAAAGCGUGGGUAGCAAACAGGAUUAGAUACCCGAGUAGUC
RNAcentral lists this ribosomal RNA (465 nucleotides) under Vreelandella stevensii. RNAcentral's name for it is "partial 16S ribosomal RNA". It matches the Rfam family "Bacterial small subunit ribosomal RNA", at positions 338 to 795 of the family's 1533-position model. The record is from RNAcentral. Lineage: Bacteria; Pseudomonadati; Pseudomonadota; Gammaproteobacteria; Oceanospirillales; Halomonadaceae.